UAGUGGCGAACGGGUGAGUAACACGUGGGCAAUCUGCCCUUCACUCUGGGACAAGCCCUGGAAACGGGGUCUAAUACCGGAUAACACUGCGGAUCGCAUGGUCUGUGGUUAAAAGCUCCGGCGGUGAAGGAUGAGCCCGCGGCCUAUCAGCUUGUUGGUGAGGUAGUGGCUCACCAAGGCGACGACGGGUAGCCGGCCUGAGAGGGCGACCGGCCACACUGGGACUGAGACACGGCCCAGACUCCUACGGGAGGCAGCAGUGGGGAAUAUUGCACAAUGGGCGAAAGCCUGAUGCAGCGACGCCGCGUGAGGGAUGACGGCCUUCGGGUUGUAAACCUCUUUCAGCAGGGAAGAAGCGAAAGUGACGGUACCUGCAGAAGAAGCGCCGGCUAACUACGUGCCAGCAGCCGCGGUAAUACGUAGGGCGCAAGCGUUGUCCGGAAUUAUUGGGCGUAAAGAGCUCGUAGGCGGCUUGUCACGUCGAUUNGUGAAAGCCCGAGGCUUAACCUCGGGUCUGCAGUCGAUACGGGCUAGCUAGAGUGUGGUAGGGGNAGAUCGGAAUUCCU
Molecule: ribosomal RNA, 566 nt
Filed under: Streptomyces sp. 384D04
Lineage: Bacteria; Bacillati; Actinomycetota; Actinomycetes; Kitasatosporales; Streptomycetaceae
Description: bacterial SSU rRNA
Rfam family: Bacterial small subunit ribosomal RNA
Source: RNAcentral